Molecule: transfer RNA, 75 nt
Filed under: Pseudonocardiales bacterium
Lineage: Bacteria; Bacillati; Actinomycetota; Actinomycetes; Pseudonocardiales
Also listed under: 1 other name
Description: tRNA-Thr
Rfam family: tRNA
About the family: Transfer RNA (tRNA) molecules are approximately 80 nucleotides in length.
Source: RNAcentral
GCCGGUGUAGCUCAGUGGUAGAGCAACCGCCUUGUAAGCGGUAGGUCGUCGGUUCAAUCCCGACCACCGGCUCCA